This 465-nucleotide ribosomal RNA is filed under the name Vreelandella stevensii. RNAcentral describes it as "partial 16S ribosomal RNA". It matches the Rfam family "Bacterial small subunit ribosomal RNA", at positions 338 to 795 of the family's 1533-position model. The record is from RNAcentral. Lineage: Bacteria; Pseudomonadati; Pseudomonadota; Gammaproteobacteria; Oceanospirillales; Halomonadaceae.
CCUACGGGGUGCAGCAGUGGGGAAUAUUGGACAAUGGGCGAAAGCCUGAUCCAGCCAUGCCGCGUGUGUGAAGAAGGCCUUCGGGUUGUAAAGCACUUUCAGUGGGGAAGAAAGCCUUGGGGCUAAUACCCUCGAGGAAGGACAUCACCCACAGAAGAAGCACCGGCUAACUCCGUGCCAGCAGCCGCGGUAAUACGGAGGGUGCGAGCGUUAAUCGGAAUUACUGGGCGUAAAGCGCGCGUAGGCGGUCUGAUAAGCCGGUUGUGAAAGCCCCGGGCUCAACCUGGGAACGGCAUCCGGAACUGUCAGGCUAGAGUGCAGGAGAGGAAGGUAGAAUUCCCGGUGUAGCGGUGAAAUGCGUAGAGAUCGGGAGGAAUACCAGUGGCGAAGGCGGCCUUCUGGACUGACACUGACGCUGAUGUGCGAAAGCGUGGGUAGCAAACAGGAUUAGAUACCCGGGUAGUC